CAGCCGAGGGCCUAACUUCUCGAAGUGA
Molecule: small RNA, 28 nt
Filed under: Bombyx mori (domestic silkworm)
Lineage: Eukaryota; Metazoa; Arthropoda; Insecta; Lepidoptera; Bombycidae
Description: ovarian small RNA-4708
Source: RNAcentral